CUCUCACUAAGCAAGCGUAGUGGGGCUCGCUGGCUUGCACUUUGAAGAU
RNAcentral lists this microRNA precursor (49 nucleotides) under Pongo abelii (Sumatran orangutan). Its description in RNAcentral is "miRNA". Lineage: Eukaryota; Metazoa; Chordata; Mammalia; Primates; Hominidae. The record is from RNAcentral.